GGGGUUGUGGCUCAGAGGUAGAGCGUUUGCCUAGCAUGCAUUUGGCACUGGGUUCAAUCCUCAGCACCA
RNAcentral lists this transfer RNA (69 nucleotides) under Ictidomys tridecemlineatus (thirteen-lined ground squirrel). RNAcentral's name for it is "Spermophilus tridecemlineatus (thirteen-lined ground squirrel) tRNA". It matches the Rfam family "tRNA". From Rfam's summary of the family: Transfer RNA (tRNA) molecules are approximately 80 nucleotides in length. Their secondary structure includes four short double-helical elements and three loops (D, anti-codon, and T loops). Lineage: Eukaryota; Metazoa; Chordata; Mammalia; Rodentia; Sciuridae. The record is from Rfam by way of RNAcentral.